RNAcentral lists this ribosomal RNA (253 nucleotides) under uncultured bacterium. Its description in RNAcentral is "partial 16S ribosomal RNA". It matches the Rfam family "Bacterial small subunit ribosomal RNA", at positions 524 to 776 of the family's 1533-position model. The record is from RNAcentral.
UACGUAGGUGGCAAGCGUUAUCCGGAUUUAUUGGGUGUAAAGGGCGUGUAGGCGGGAGCGCAAGUCAGAUGUGAAAACUCAGGGCUCAACCCUGAGCCUGCAUUUGAAACUGUGUUUCUUGAGUGCUGGAGAGGCAAUCGGAAUUCCGUGUGUAGCGGUGAAAUGCGUAGAUAUACGGAGGAACACCAGUGGCGAAGGCGGAUUGCUGGACAGUAACUGGCGCUGAGGCGCGAAAGCGUGGGGAGCAAACAGG